UAGAGAAAGAAGGUUGCGGGUAGAAGACUCCAUACUUUCUGUGACGCCUAUUCCUUAGCUUGUGAUGAAUGUUUUCUCAGUAUCCUAUGCUGAAAACAGGUAGAUACUAAUCCCUCCUUCAAGGGAGGGCUGUUGAGUAUUGAAUAAGAUAAAAACAUGGAAGCAAUCAGCACAAUGCUGGAAUCAAGCCUAUCUGUAAUCACAGGGCUAUUUGAAAAAGAGAAGAAAAGGUGUCUUGAAAUUAAACCAACAUGUUUCAAUUAUUUGCUCCUAAGAACAACAGAAGUUUCAACAUUCUGCCAACACAGUAACUCCUGGGAGAUUGGCACAGAAGAAGGCACAAGGAGAGCUUUUAUAUAACCAAAGAUAUUUUUGGACCAUGAAUUCGGAAAUUCUCGGAGCCACCCAUCAAUGCCUGAGCUUCAGUGAGUCCAUAUCCCAUGUCACCUACGGCAAAGGAGAAUCUGAGACUUCUGAAGAGUUUCUUGCUUCUUUCCUGUGGGGCAGUGACUCCACUUCCCAGCAGUAAUGGAAUAUCCUGAAUUAGCUACAUUAAUGUUAGAACCAUUUGGACCUCACCCAGGACUUCAACUACAUUGUGGUAAGACAAAGCCAGAGCUAGAAGGCAAUAAUUUCUUCCUUCUGGCUCAACAGUACCUAUCUUGUAGAGUUAUUUGAGGAAUGGUUGUAUUCUUGAUGUUAUAAUUAUUAACUCCGCCCACAUACCGAC
RNAcentral lists this small RNA (730 nucleotides) under Pongo abelii (Sumatran orangutan). RNAcentral describes it as "retained intron". The record is from RNAcentral. Lineage: Eukaryota; Metazoa; Chordata; Mammalia; Primates; Hominidae.